AUACAGAGGGUGCGAGCGUUAAUCGGAAUUACUGGGCGUAAAGCGCGCGUAGGCGGCUUGGUCAGUCGGAUGUGAAAGCCCUGGGCUCAACCUGGGAAUUGCACUCGAUACUGCAGAGCUAGAGUAUGGUAGAGGGAAGUGGAAUUUCCGGUGUAGCGGUGAAAUGCGUAGAUAUCGGAAGGAACACCAGUGGCGAAGGCGGCUUCCUGGCUUAAGACUGACACUGAGGCGCGAAGGCGUGGGGAGCAAACAGGAUUAGAUACCCCGGUAGUCC
Molecule: ribosomal RNA, 274 nt
Filed under: uncultured bacterium
Lineage: Bacteria
Description: partial 16S ribosomal RNA
Rfam family: Bacterial small subunit ribosomal RNA
Source: RNAcentral